This 1513-nucleotide ribosomal RNA is filed under the name uncultured prokaryote. RNAcentral's name for it is "partial 16S ribosomal RNA". It matches the Rfam family "Bacterial small subunit ribosomal RNA". The record is from RNAcentral.
AGAGUUUGAUCCUGGCUCAGAACGAACGUUGGCGGCGUGGAUUAGGCAUGCAAGUCGAACGAGAAAGUUUCCUUCGGGAGACGAGUACAGUGGCGAAAGGGUGAGUAAUGCAUAGAUAACCUGCCCUCAAGACGGGAAUAACUUCUCGAAAGAGAUGCUAAUACCCGAUGUGACCUCAGGUUUACGGACCUGCGGUUAAAGAUAGCUUCGGCCUUCGCUUGAGGUGUGGUCUAUGUCCUAUUAGCUUGUUGGUGAGGUAACGGCUCACCAAGGCAUCGAUGGGUAGCCGACCUGAGAGGGUGACCGGCCACACUGGGACUGAGACACUGCCCAGACUCCUACGGGAGGCUGCAGUCGAGAAUCUUCCGCAAUGCGCGCAAGCGUGACGGAGCGACGCCGCGUGAGGGAUGAAGGCCUUCGGGUUGUAAACCUCUGUCACCUGGGAAGAAAGGUAGGUGGUUAAUAGCUGUCCUGCUUGACGUUACCAGGGGAGGAAGCACCGGCUAAAUACGUGCCAGCAGCCGCGGUAAUACGUAUGGUGCAAACGUUGUUCGGAAUCACUGGGCUUAAAGAGCACGUAGGCGGUUGGAAAAGUUCGAUGUGAAAUCCCACGGCUCAACUGUGGAACUGCAUCGGAAACUAUUCAACUAGAGUGCAGGAGGGGAGAGUGGAAUUCCUGGUGGAGCGGUGAAAUGCGUAGAUAUCAGGAGGAACGCCGGUGGCGAAAGCGACUCUCUGGCCUGUUACUGACGCUGAGGUGCGAAAGCUAGGGGAGCGAACGGGAUUAGAUACCCCGGUAGUCCUAGCCCUAAACGAUGAGUACUGGAUCGAGGGGACUCCCACAUCUUCUCGGUCGUAGCGAAAGUGUUAAGUACUCCGCCUGGGGAGUAUGGUCGCAAGGCUGAAACUCAAAGGAAUUGACGGGGGCUCACACAAGCGGUGGAGGAUGUGGCUUAAUUCGAGGCUACGCGAAGAACCUUAUCCUGGUCUUGACAUGCUUGAGAACCUCCUCGAAAGCAGAGAGUGCCUUCGGGAGCCUUUACACAGGUGCUGCAUGGCUGUCGUCAGCUCGUGUCGUGAGAUGUCGGGUUAAGUCCCUUAACGAGCGAAACCCUUGUCCCUAGUUGCCAGCGAGUAAUGUCGGGGACUCUAGGGAGACUGCCGGUGUUAAACCGGAGGAAGGUGGGGAUGACGUCAAGUCCUCAUGGCCUUUAUGACCAGGGCUGCACACGUCCUACAAUGCGGCGUACAAAGGGAAGCAACCUCGCGAGAGCAAGCAAAUCCCAAAAAGCGUCGCUCAGUUCGGAUUGCAGGCUGCAACUCGCCUGCAUGAAGCCGGAAUCGCUAGUAAUCGCGGGUCAGCAUACCGCGGUGAAUAUGUUCCUGAGCCUUGUACACACCGCCCGUCAAGCCACGAAAGUGGGGUGCGCCCGAAGUCGCUGUCGUAACUGUUUACAGAGCAAAGCGCCGAAGGUGAACUCCGCGAUUGGGACUAAGUCGUAACAAGGUAACC